GUAUCUUCUUAGACCAAGUCUAGAAACAGUCUUAGGACAAUAACAAUUCCAUUCUAGAAAGAAUCUCCCAACAUUUCUUCUAUCUCAACCUCAACUGCAUCUGCCUGUGAACUUCCAGCUUACCAAGGCUCUAUAUCUUCUGGCAGUGACAAAGGCUCCUUCCAUGGUUGGUACAUCAUAGCUGGGGAAACAGGGAUUCAAAAGAUCCAGGCUGUUCCCUACAUAUUUUUCCUCCUCAGACAUCAGUUCAUCAGUCAAUCAAGUCAGGUGAGAGUGGAGGCCAUGUAUUCCUUAUUCUUGGGCACUGUCCUCCAAGGAGGAAGAGGCCAGGAGGUCCUGUUAGAGGAUGCACUCUGAGAGGCCGGGCUCCCUAAGGUGUGAGGGUUCUAACCAGCAGGUGUAGACUUUUCAGGAGUGAGGAAUGAGGCAG
This 430-nucleotide long non-coding RNA is filed under the name Pongo abelii (Sumatran orangutan). RNAcentral describes it as "lincRNA". Lineage: Eukaryota; Metazoa; Chordata; Mammalia; Primates; Hominidae. The record is from RNAcentral.